CCUACGGGCGACAGCAGUGGGGAAUAUUGGGCAAUGGGCGCAAGCCUGACCCAGCAACGCCGCGUGAAGGAAGAAGGCUUUCGGGUUGUAAACUUCUUUUAAGAGGGAAGAGCAGAAGACGAUACCUCGCGAAUAAACCGCGGCUAACUACGGGCCAGCAGCCGCGGUAAUACGGAGGUCGCAAGCGUUGUCCGGAUUUACUGGGUGUAAAGGGCGUGUAGCCGGGCUGACAAGGCAGAUGUGAAAUUCCGGGGCUCAACCCCGGACCUGCAUUUGAAACUGUUGGUCUUGAGUAUCGGAGAGGUAGGCGGAAUGCGUGGUGUAGCGGUGAAAUGCGUAGAUAUUAGGAGGAACACCAGUGGCGAAGGCGGCCUGCUGGACGACAACUGACGGUGAGGCGCGAAAGCGUGGGGAGCAAACAGGAUUAGAUACCCCUGUAGUC
RNAcentral lists this ribosomal RNA (442 nucleotides) under uncultured bacterium. RNAcentral describes it as "partial 16S ribosomal RNA". It matches the Rfam family "Bacterial small subunit ribosomal RNA", at positions 338 to 795 of the family's 1533-position model. The record is from RNAcentral.